UACAGAGGUCUCAAGCGUUGUUCGGAUUCAUUGGGCGUAAAGGGUGCGUAGGUGGCGCCGUAAGUCAGGUGUGAAAUUUCGGAGCUUAACUCCGAAACUGCAUUUGAUACUGCGGUGCUUGAGGACUGGAGAGGAGACUGGAAUUCCUGGUGUAGCGGUGAAAUGCGCAGAUAUCAGGAGGAACACCGGUGGCGAAGGCGGGUCUCUGGGCCGAUACUGACGCUGAGGUGCGAGAGCGUGGGGAGCGAACCGG
Molecule: ribosomal RNA, 253 nt
Filed under: uncultured bacterium
Lineage: Bacteria
Description: partial 16S ribosomal RNA
Rfam family: Bacterial small subunit ribosomal RNA
Source: RNAcentral